Non-coding RNA from Malus domestica (apple), 148 nucleotides. RefSeq annotates it as microRNA MIR394a. Lineage: Eukaryota; Viridiplantae; Streptophyta; Magnoliopsida; Rosales; Rosaceae. The record is from RefSeq and is marked provisional.
UCACGUGGGUUUUGCAAAGAGUUUCUUACAGAGUUCUUUGGCAUUCUGUCCACCUCCCCCCUCUCUCUGUGUGUCUGUGGCUCAAUGGAUGGAGGUGGGCAUACUGCCAACAGAGCUCUGUUGGCUUCUCUUUGUAAAACCCCCGUGA